This is a non-coding RNA of Burkholderiales bacterium, 377 nucleotides long. NCBI's taxonomy places the organism in Bacteria, Pseudomonadati, Pseudomonadota, Betaproteobacteria, Burkholderiales. The record is from Rfam.
GGGGCUGCACUGGUUUCGACGUGGGUUCGGACACGCAGCAGGGCAUGUCGAGGUUCUGUCACCUCGUAAAACCGCAGAAAAAAACUAACUGCAAACGACGAACGUUUCGCACUCGCCGCUUAAUCCGGUGAGCCUUGCAACAGUCGGCCAAUGGGCUGGGCAAGGGCAGUCGUAAGACUGUCCCGGCUGCAAGGAAAAUUUCAUAGGCUGGUCAUCAUGCGGGCAACUUGCCUGGUGACGAGAUCCAAGGUUGCUGGCUGGGUGCAUAGCGUGUCGCUGCGCGAUGCAUCUGGCGAGACUCAAAUCAGACGACUACACAUGUAGAACUGCGCGGAGAAGGCUUGCGGACGGGGGUUCAAAUCCCCCCAGCUCCACCA